GUACGGGAGGCAGCAGUGGGGAAUAUUGGACAAUGGGGGCAACCCUGAUCCAGCCAUGCCGCGUGAGUGAUGAAGGUCUUAGGAUUGUAAAGCUCUUUCGGCGGGGAAGAUGAUGACGGUACCCGCAGAAGAAGCCCCGGCUAACUUCGUGCCAGCAGCCGCGGUAAUACGAAGGGGGCUAGCGUUGUUCGGAAUUACUGGGCGUAAAGGGCGUGUAGGCGGCUUGCAAAGUCGGGCGUGAAAGCCCCGGGCUCAACCCGGGAAUUGCGUUCGAUACUGGCGAGCUAGAGUUCGGGAGAGGGUCGUGGAAUUCCCAGUGUAGAGGUGAAAUUCGUAGAUAUUGGGAAGAACACCAGUGGCGAAGGCGGCGACCUGGACCGAUACUGACGCUAAGGCGCGAAAGCGUGGGGAGCAAACAGGAUUAGAUACCCCGGU
This 435-nucleotide ribosomal RNA is filed under the name uncultured bacterium. RNAcentral describes it as "bacterial SSU rRNA". It matches the Rfam family "Bacterial small subunit ribosomal RNA", at positions 339 to 791 of the family's 1533-position model. The record is from RNAcentral.